UACGUAGGGGGCGAGCGUUGUCCGAAGUUACUGGGCGUAAAGCGCGCGUAGGCGGUUCUUUAAGUCUGGUGUGAAAGGUUCAGGGCUCAACCCGAACAGUGCACUGGAUACUGGAGGACUUGAGUUAGGGAGAGGGUAGUGGAAUUCCUGGUGUAGCGGUGAAAUGCGUAGAUAUCGGAAGGAACAUCAGUGGCGAAGGCGACUUCCUGGACCAAUACUGACGCUCAGGUGCGAAAGCGUGGGGAGCAAACAGG
RNAcentral lists this ribosomal RNA (254 nucleotides) under uncultured bacterium. RNAcentral describes it as "partial 16S ribosomal RNA". It matches the Rfam family "Bacterial small subunit ribosomal RNA", at positions 524 to 776 of the family's 1533-position model. The record is from RNAcentral.